CUGAGAGAGGGGAGACUUUCAACACUAUGAUCAAUAAUCAUCUCCCUAAUUGGGUAUUAGCAACAGGGAAGUGGACUCACCCGCCACAUAAAUAAACAAAGAAAGCCCAAAAGUAUCAACUGGACAAGACUGCCAAGAGAUAAAGAAAUUGAUGAUCAUCAGUGAGCUGGAUUCGAACAGACAGCCAGAGACGGUGAGCAAGAUCUUCUCUACUAUGCAGAAGAUCCUGUGCAUGGGAGGUCCGUUUGACUUGACAUCUAGAAGAAUGCUUUCAGCCAACAACAAACCAUCGCAGACUGUAUAAUUAAGGAGAUAGACAUCUUCCCAGCGAAAAAGGGAUGACGCUCCAAAGGAGCAGAAAUCACAAUGUUUCUGCUGUUCCAGUUUUAUCUUGAUAUUUUUCAGAUAUUUGCUUAUACCGGUAAAGGUCCACAUUCCAAUGGUUAAAGGCAGUAUCACUUCGUACCUAGCCUGAUGUCAGAUCUGUUUGUACUCUUGACAAAUCCAUUGCUCAUUGGCGUGACAAUGUGACAAGGAGUUGGCAUGACAGCACAAACAGACUAGCACUCAGGCUACUUCAUACCCAUUGUGAACCAACAGUCUUGUGUUGAUGUCAGAGUUUACAAUGCCAAGCAGCCUCACGUCUUCAGUCCACAAGGGGCAUUAUAUAAAAACUUGAAUUGUGUGUUUCCAUACUAAAUGUUCAUGGUUUUCCCAUGUGUAUUAAUGUGUAGGCCUACUGGUAAUUCUCACAAAAAUACCUGAAUGAAGAUAGCAUAUCACAGUGACCAUAGGAGCACUGUUCCUUUUUUUUCGCAAGAUAAAAAAAUUGAUUACAUUAACUUAACUUUGCGGGAGGCCUAUUCAUCAUCAUUUAAAUUGUCAAAUGUAUCUCACUUUAUCCGCCACCAAUUUAUAUCAACUACCUAGAAGUUUAUAAUUGGUUUGUUACUUUAUCUUUCCAAUUGUUAAAUUGGCCAAGUUCAGG
This 988-nucleotide long non-coding RNA is filed under the name Salmo salar (Atlantic salmon). RNAcentral's name for it is "lncRNA (ENSSSAG00000121363.1)". The record is from RNAcentral. Lineage: Eukaryota; Metazoa; Chordata; Actinopteri; Salmoniformes; Salmonidae.